GCCAGCAGCCAUAUCACUCUGCAGCUCCCAGCUGGCAGCCCACUGAAGCCCAGCAGGUGUGAGCCUGGUCAGUACCUGGAUGGGAGACCUCCUGGCAAAAACUAAGGCUGCUGCUGGAA
RNAcentral lists this ribosomal RNA (119 nucleotides) under Lepisosteus oculatus (spotted gar). Lineage: Eukaryota; Metazoa; Chordata; Actinopteri; Semionotiformes; Lepisosteidae. The record is from RNAcentral.